Molecule: ribosomal RNA, 253 nt
Filed under: uncultured bacterium
Lineage: Bacteria
Description: partial 16S ribosomal RNA
Rfam family: Bacterial small subunit ribosomal RNA
Source: RNAcentral
UACGUAGGGUGCAAGCGUUGUCCGGAAUUAUUGGGCGUAAAGAGCUCGUAGGCGGUUUGUCGCGUCUGCUGUGAAAACUCGGGGCUUAACCCCGGGCGUGCAGUGGGUACGGGCAGACUAGAGUGCGGUAGGGGAGGCUGGAAUUCCUGGUGUAGCGGUGAAAUGCGCAGAUAUCAGGAGGAACACCGGUGGCGAAGGCGGGUCUCUGGGCCGUAACUGACGCUGAGGAGCGAAAGCAUGGGGAGCGAACAGG